UACAGAGGUCUCAAGCGUUAAUCGGAAUCACUGGGCUUAAAGGGUGCGUAGGCGGACUCGCAAGUGCCUUGUGAAAUCCCACGGCUCAACCGUGGAAUUGCUCGGUAGACUGCGGGUCUUGAGGUCGGUAGGGGCUGCCGGAACAGUAGGUGGAGCGGUGAAAUGCGUAGAUAUCUACUGGAACGCCCAAGGCGAAGGCAGGCAGCUGGGCCGAUUCUGACGCUGAGGCACGAAAGCGUGGGGAGCAAACGGG
RNAcentral lists this ribosomal RNA (253 nucleotides) under uncultured bacterium. RNAcentral's name for it is "partial 16S ribosomal RNA". It matches the Rfam family "Bacterial small subunit ribosomal RNA", at positions 524 to 776 of the family's 1533-position model. The record is from RNAcentral.